RNAcentral lists this ribosomal RNA (500 nucleotides) under uncultured bacterium. Its description in RNAcentral is "partial 16S ribosomal RNA". It matches the Rfam family "Bacterial small subunit ribosomal RNA", at positions 30 to 523 of the family's 1533-position model. The record is from RNAcentral.
AUUGAACGCUGGCGGCAUGCUUUACACAUGCAAGUCGAACGGUAACAGGGUGCUUGCACCGCUGACGAGUGGCGAACGGGUGAGUAAUGCGUCGGAACGUGCCGAGUAGUGGGGGAUAACGCAGCGAAAGUUGUGCUAAUACCGCAUACGUACUGAGGUAGAAAGUGGGGGACCUUCGGGCCUCACGCUAUUCGAGCGGCCGACGUCUGAUUAGCUAGUAGGUGAGGCAAAGGCUCACCUAGGCGACGAUCAGUAGCGGGUCUGAGAGGAUGAUCCGCCACACUGGGACUGAGACACGGCCCAGACUCCUACGGGAGGCAGCAGUGGGGAAUUUUGGACAAUGGGCGAAAGCCUGAUCCAGCCAUGCCGCGUGUCUGAAGAAGGCCUUCGGGUUGUAAAGGACUUUUGUCAGGGAGGAAAUCCCUAGUGCUAAUAACACUGGGGGAUGACAGUACCUGAAGAAUAAGCACCGGCUAACUACGUGCCAGCCGCCGCAGUAA